Molecule: ribosomal RNA, 524 nt
Filed under: uncultured bacterium
Lineage: Bacteria
Description: partial 16S ribosomal RNA
Rfam family: Bacterial small subunit ribosomal RNA
Source: RNAcentral
GACGAACGCUGGCGGCGUGCCUAAUACAUGCAAGUCGAGCGCAGGAAACUGACGGAACUCUUCGGAGGGAAGGCAGUGGAAUGAGCGGCGGACGGGUGAGUAACACGUAAGGAACCUGCCUCAAGGAUUGGGAUAACUCCGAGAAAUCGGAGCUAAUGCCGGAUAGUUCAACGGACCGCAUGGUCUGCUAAUGAAAGGCGCUCCGGCGUCACCUUGAGAUGGCCUUGCGGUGCAUUAGCUAGUUGGUGGGGUAACGGCCUACCAAGGCGACGAUGCAUAGCCGACCUGAGAGGGUGAUCGGCCACACUGGGACUGAGACACGGCCCAGACUCCUACGGGAGGCAGCAGUAGGGAAUCUUCCACAAUGGACGAAAGUCUGAUGGAGCAACGCCGCGUGAGUGAUGAAGGUUUUCGGAUCGUAAAACUCUGUUGUAAGGGAAGAACACGUACGAGAGGGAAUGCUCGUACCUUGACGGUACCUUACGAGAAAGCCACGGCUAACUACGUGCCAGCCGCCGCCGUAA